Molecule: ribosomal RNA, 495 nt
Filed under: uncultured bacterium
Lineage: Bacteria
Description: partial 16S ribosomal RNA
Rfam family: Bacterial small subunit ribosomal RNA
Source: RNAcentral
GACGAACGCUGGCGGCGUGCCUAAUACAUGCAAGUAGAACGCUGAAGGAGGAGCUUGCUCUUCUGGAUGAGUUGCGAACGGGUGAGUAACGCGUAGGUAACCUGCCUGGUAGCGGGGGAUAACUAUUGGAAACGAUAGCUAAUACCGCAUAAGAGUAGAUGUUGCAUGACAUUUACUUAAAAGGUGCAAUUGCAUCACUACCAGAUGGACCUGCGUUGUAUUAGCUAGUUGGUGGGGUAACGGCUUACCAAGGCGACGAUACAUAGCCGACCUGAGAGGGUGAUCGGCCACACUGGGACUGAGACACGGCCCAGACUCCUACGGGAGGCAGCAGUAGGGAAUCUUCGGCAAUGGACGGAAGUCUGACCGAGCAACGCCGCGUGAGUGAAGAAGGUUUUCGGAUCGUAAAGCUCUGUUGUAAGAGAAGAACGAGUGUGAGAGUGGAAAGUUCACACUGUGACGGUAUCUUAACAGAAAGGGACGGCUAACUACGUG